CUUCCGCUUCCUUCCUUACUUGCGCUACUUCGGGCGACUUGUUUUCUGUCCUCUGUUUCCAGACAGUCACACAACUAGUCAAUGGCUAUUCCUACAAAGAAGCUUCCAAAGCAGAUGGCGAGAAGAAGGAGCUGACGUCGAUGCGUUUUGACAAAGAAUGAAGAAAACGCAUCGCAGAUGCUGGUGGUCAGCGUCUCAACGUGGUCUUGCCUGGGUGUCUAGACCGACAAAGAUCAUCAUGACAUAGAAGCCAACGGCCCAAAUGUGAGGGAAGGGCAUCAGACUCACGGCGCGAGGAUACAGGCGUAAACCAAUAUCCAGGAAAGCAGAAGACAUAGGGCCAAGUCCCAGCGAAUGUUUCCCAUUUCCUCAAGUCCGCUUGAUAGCCCCAAAAUUCUUCUCCUGGACAGAAAUCCGAGGAAAAACACUCAUAUACACACACACACACACACACGCAUACACACACAUGGUACUUACUCCCAAUACUCUACAGCUGAAGAUGUGUUGUUUGUGGACUCUGACAGAGUUUGAUUGUGUCCCAGACAUGAAUCUUUCAUGCGAGCACCUGUGUUCCAGCUGUUGAGACAGUUAGCCCACGGAAGUUCCGAGUGGAAGGAUGAGAAGAGGAAGAGGAAUUCCCAGCUCAGGAUAAUAAUCCAGGUCAAAAAGACGGAUGUCAUGUCAUUCACCUUCAAAAAGAGGGCAGAUUUUCCUCCAACACGUUAUUGCACCUUGACCGGUGUACUGGCCCAGGGAUGUCUCCAGGAUGAAGAGAGGGAUGCCACAGGUUUUCUACCGUAAAAACAAAUGUACCGUCUUUCCAUUGUGGAGGGGGUGUGGUCCACGUGUCCCCUGGGGGCAGGGCGUGUGCAGGAGCUGGCGGUGAAGCAACUGACAGAGUCGCGGGGGGUGCUGGAGCCUAUCUCAGCUGCAUUCGGGCGGAAGGCGGUGUACACCCUGGACAAGUCGCCACCUCAUCGCAGUGGUCCAAAUGCCUUUGAAGAUGAGGCACUGGAGCCUAUCUCAGCUGCAUUCGGGCGGAAGGCGGCGUACACCCUGGACAAGUCGCCACCUCAUCGCAGUGGUGCAAAUGCCU
Molecule: long non-coding RNA, 1096 nt
Organism: Nerophis ophidion (straightnose pipefish)
Lineage: Eukaryota; Metazoa; Chordata; Actinopteri; Syngnathiformes; Syngnathidae
Exons: 9
Source: RefSeq, a predicted model, not a curated record